UGAUAAUAAUAAGAAUAACAAGUUUAUUAAGGCUUAGGAUGAUAUUAAACUUAAAUAUUAUUUUUUCCUCUCUUUAUUUAAUUGUAAAAGUAAAAAUAGUAUACGUAGAUAUACUACAUGUUGAAGAAAUAUAGGACAAGUACUAUUCUGUACCAUCGCUAAUUGUGGUUUGGAGCUUCGGUUAAGCGGGGUGGGGGAGGAACUAUGUAGGUAUUUAAAAGAUACACACGGACCAAUUUAAGUGACGCACCAAACAUGGAUGGGGUAGAGUUGCCGUCCAAACUCAGCACUGGUAAAAGUUUUUCAGGUCUCCGUUAACCAGAGAAACAAAGGUGUAAUUUGGGUGUUUAGUAGACGGAUGUCACAUAGAUACGAUGCUAAUAUAAGAUGGGGAUUUUCAUUCAGGACGACAUGAUAUUCUCCCUCAUGUGCUACACAGACAGUGAUGAUGAAGAGUGUUGUCAGGAAGACUCUACAAACAUUCCUAUGAAAUUUGGUAAUAGCACCACCUUCUUCAUUUGAGCUGCCAUCAUUUUCUGCUGAUAAGCCAGAAUCUUAGAUCACACGCUUUUACUUCUGCUUCUCCUAGAUGUGUUUGAAGACUUUAUCUCCCUCACCAUUGGGGCUUAAUUUUU
Molecule: long non-coding RNA, 635 nt
Organism: Misgurnus anguillicaudatus (oriental weatherfish)
Lineage: Eukaryota; Metazoa; Chordata; Actinopteri; Cypriniformes; Cobitidae
Source: RefSeq, a predicted model, not a curated record